GCUAGUUGUAUUAUUAGUUAAUGCAAGAUCGACUACGUCGACUAAAGUUCUAGGUAGAAUAAUGAUGAUGACAAUUUUUUACCUAUAUGUCUUGACCAAGUCUCGUGCCAGCAGUCGCGGUAAUACGUGGAAGACUAGUGUUAUUCAUCUUUAUUAGGUUUAAAGGGUACCUAGACGGUAUUUCUAGCCCAAAAUAGGGUACGGAUUUACUAGAGUUUUAUGUGAGGAGGGGAGUACUCGUGGAGUAGAGAUGAAAUUUUGUUAUACUAUGAGGUAACUGGUGGCGGCGAAAGCAACCUUCUAUGUAUAAACUGACGUUGAGGGACGAAGGCUUGGGUAGCAAAUAGGAUUAGAUACCCUAGUAGUCCAAGCAGACAAUUCUGAAUGCCAUAGAUUAGAUUAUUUUUGGUCUAUAAAUGAAAGUGUAAGCAUUCCACCUUAGGAGUAAUGUGGCAACACAGGAACUGAAAUCAUUAGACCGUUUCUGAAACCAGUAGUGAAGUAUGUUAUUUAAUUUGAUGGUCCACAAAAAACCUUACCACAACUUGAAUAUUUUUUAAUUAAUACAAGCGUUGCACGGCUGUCUUCAGUUAAUGUCGUGAGAUUUUGGUUAACUCCAUUAAUUAACGUAAACCCUUACUUUAUUUAUUUUUUUU
This 656-nucleotide ribosomal RNA is filed under the name Acarospora peltastica. Its description in RNAcentral is "SSU rRNA". It matches the Rfam family "Bacterial small subunit ribosomal RNA", at positions 385 to 1125 of the family's 1533-position model. Lineage: Eukaryota; Fungi; Ascomycota; Lecanoromycetes; Acarosporales; Acarosporaceae. The record is from RNAcentral.